GGUGAACGCUGGCGGCAGGCCUAAUACAUGCAAGUCGAACGAACACACAAUAAGCUCUCGCCUCUAACGGUAGCGGCUGACGGAUGGGUAACAAAUGGAUAGGCUUCUUAUUUUACUUGGAGGACUUCGUAAAGCCGCUUCCGAUACUACAGAAUACAUCCUACCGCAUAGAGCAAGAGUUAUUCACACCUUGCCUGUUACUAUUAGAUGGAGCCGCGCCGCAUUAGCUAGUUGGUAAGGUAACGGCUUACCAAGGCAACGAUGCGUAGCCGACCUGAGAGGGUGAUCGGCCACACUGGAACUGAGACACGGUCCAGACUCCUACGGGAGGCAGCAGUAGGGAAUCUUCCGCAAUGGGCGAAAGCCUGACGGAGCAACGCCGCGUGAGUGAUGAAGGUCUUCGGAUCGUAAAACUCUGUUAUUAGGGAAGAACAAAUGUGUAAGUAACUAUGCACGUCUUGACGGUACCUAAUCAGAAAGCCACGGCUAACUACGUG
RNAcentral lists this ribosomal RNA (497 nucleotides) under uncultured bacterium. Its description in RNAcentral is "partial 16S ribosomal RNA". It matches the Rfam family "Bacterial small subunit ribosomal RNA", at positions 28 to 507 of the family's 1533-position model. The record is from RNAcentral.